AUGGGAGCUUACCUGCAGUCGAGCGGAUGAAGUAGCUUGCUACCGGAUUCAGCGGCGGACGGCCGAGUAAUGCUUAGGAAUCUGCCUAUUAGUGGGGGACAACGUUCCGAAAGGAGCGCUAAUACCGCAUACGUCCUACGGGAGAAAGCAGGGGACCUUCGGGCCUUGCGCUAAUAGAUGAGCCUAAGUCGGAUUAGCUAGUUGGUAGGGUAAAGGCCUACCAAGGCGACGAUCUGUAGCGGGUCUGAAAGGAUGAUCCGCCACACUGGGACUGAGACACGGCCCAGACUCCUACGGGAGGCAGAAGUGGGGAAUAUUGGACAAUGGGGGGAACCCUGAUCCUCCCUUGCCGCGGGUGUGAAGAAAGGCCUUUUUGGUUGUAAAGCCCUUUUAAGCGAGGGAGGGGGGCUACCUUACCUAUUCACUUCCAGGAUAGUGGGACGUUACUUCCUAAAAUAAAGAGCGGGCUAUAUUUUUGGCCAUGACCCCCCCCGCGAUAUAAACAAGGGGUGGAGAGGCCUUAUUACCGGAUAUUUUACGGGGGCUCAAAAGAUAGGUGGUAGUCCCGGGCCCAUUUUAAUUCCCAAAGUGGGGUAUCUCCCCCCCAAGUUUAAACUUUUGUGGUAUUUGUUUUAUUUUACUCACUCGGGUUUGGGUGUAUGCACCUAUGGGCUAAAUGGCAUAGGUUGAAAUAUUUCCCUGCGGGUUUUCCCCUAGAUAAAAGGCGAUCCUAAACAAUUUUGGGAGAUAAAAACCCCUAUUUGGGCGAAGAGAGGCUACCCAUCUUUUGGCUCUAUAUCCUAUGUAGUGCUUAAUGCGUCUCAAAAAGCCUUUGGGGGUUGUCAACCCCGAAUUAAUAAUCUCUCCU
Molecule: ribosomal RNA, 868 nt
Filed under: Acinetobacter sp. F37
Lineage: Bacteria; Pseudomonadati; Pseudomonadota; Gammaproteobacteria; Moraxellales; Moraxellaceae
Description: partial 16S ribosomal RNA
Rfam family: Bacterial small subunit ribosomal RNA (bases 1-465)
Source: RNAcentral